CGUGUCCAAUCAUGCAAGUUCGAAGCGGUACACUUCGGGUGACGAGCGGCGGACGGGUGAGUAACGCGUAGGAACGUACCCCAAACUGAGGGAUAAGCAUCAGAAAUGGUGUCUAAUACCGCAUAUGGUCUUCGGAUUAAAGCUUCGGCGGUUUGGGAACGGCCUGCGUCAGAUUAGCUAGUUGGUAAGGUAAAAGCUUACCAAGGCAACGAUCUGUAGCUGGUUUGAGAGGAUGAUCAGCCACACUGGAACUGAGACACGGUCCAGACUUCUACGGAAGGCAGCAGUAGGGAAUCUUCCACAAUGGGCGAAAGCCUGAUGGAGCAACACCGCGUGCAGGACGAAACCUUUCGGGGCAUAAACUGCUUUUAUAAGUGAAGAUUUUGACGGUAACUUAUGAAUAAGGAUCGGCUAAUUCCGUGCCAGCAGCCGCGGUCAUACGGAAGAUCCGAGCGUUAUCCGGAAUUACUGGGCGUAAAGAGAUGCGUAGGCGGUAUGUUAAGUAGAAUGUGAAAUUCUGUGGCUCAACCACAGAACUGCACUCUAAACUGACAAACUUGAGAAUAUGAGAGGUCGCUGGAAUUCCUAGUGUAGGAGUGAAAUCCGUAGAUAUUAGGAGGAACACCAAUGGCGAAGGCAGGCGACUGGCAUAUUUCUGACGCUAAGGCUCGAAAGCGUAGGUAGCGAACGGGAUUAGAUACCCCCGGUAGUC
Molecule: ribosomal RNA, 712 nt
Filed under: uncultured bacterium
Lineage: Bacteria
Description: bacterial SSU rRNA
Rfam family: Bacterial small subunit ribosomal RNA
Source: RNAcentral